This 1995-nucleotide ribosomal RNA is filed under the name Triticum aestivum (bread wheat). RNAcentral's name for it is "partial small subunit ribosomal RNA". The record is from RNAcentral. Lineage: Eukaryota; Viridiplantae; Streptophyta; Magnoliopsida; Poales; Poaceae.
AUGUCGUCGUGGUCAGGCCUCGCCUUCGUCGUAGCCUCCGCCGUCACGGGCAGUGCCGUGACGCUGGCGGCGUCGGCGUUCUACGACCUCUACUUCCAGCGCUCGCAUGCCUUCGACAUCAUGCCCCCGGAUCUGUCCCCUGGCAGCCGGUACAUCUACACCCGCGCCCAGAACAACGACAAGGCGGAGCGGGCCAUCACCACCUGCAGAGUGCUCAGCGCCUUGGACGCCAGCAGGGCUGAUCCGGUCGUCGGCCGCGACGACGAGAUUGACCGCGUCAUCUGCAUCCUCUGCCGCCGCACCAAGAACUGCGCCGCGCUUGUCGGCGCCGCGGGGGUCGGUAAGACGGCCAUUGUUGAGGGCCUCGCCCAACGCAUCGCCGCCGGGAAUGUCCCGGACAUGCUGGCAGGAGCGCGCAUCCUGGAGCUCGACAUGGGGGCGGUUGUUGCCGGGACAUGCUGGCGUGGCAUGUUCGAAGAGCGCUUGAAAGACGCCAUCAAGCACGCGGAGGAGGCAGGAGGCAAGGUGAUCCUCUUCAUUGAUGAGUUGCACAUGAUUGUUGGCGCCGGCGAUAAAGGAGGCCCCAUGGACGCCGCCAAUAUCCUCAAGCCAGCAUUAGCCCGCGGCCGCAUCCGUUGUGUGGGUGCUACCACUUGCCAAGAGUACCAAAGGUAUAUCCAGACGGACGCUGCACUUGAGCGCCGGUUCCAGAAGGUUGUCGUCGAGGAACCAAGCGUGCAGGGCACCAUCACCAUCCUAAAAGGGCUGAAACAGCGGUACCAAGAGCACCAUGGCUUGAAAAUCCAGGACGAUGCUCUCGUUGCUGCAGCACAGCUCGCCGCCCGUUAUAUUACUGGUCGCCAGUUUCCUGACAAGGCGAUUGAUUUGAUUGACGAGGCAUGCUCUACUGCAAAGGUGCAUUUUGACAAGCAGAAAGUGGAGAAUAAUAUAAUUAGCUCUAUAUUUGCACCGAAGGAGUUAACUGUUGGCCCAGAUCAUGUCGCACAGGUUGUCAGUCGAUGCACUAGAAUCCCUCUCACGACACUUGGUCAAGAGGAGAAGGAGAAGUUAGUCCACCUAGCGGAAAAAUUGCAUGAGCGAGUCAUCGGUCAGGAUGAAGCGGUCAAUUUGGUUGCGCAAGCGGUGCUACGUUCUAGGGUUGGUUUUGGUCAAUCUAGCCGACCGAUAGGUUCAUUCCUCUUUUUGGGGCCGCUUGGUGUUGGAAAAACAGAACUCGCAAAAGCUCUCGCCGAGAGGAUAUUUGACAAUGAGAAGACGUUGAUCCGCUUUGAUAUGUCGGAAUAUGCUGAGAGUGGGUCUCUGUCGCGCCUCAUUGGGGGACCUCGAAGCUAUGAAGAAGAUGGACAACUUACCGAGAAAGUCAAGAGGUCUCCAUACAGUGUUGUCCUUUUCGAUCAGGUGGAUAAGGCAGACCCCUCAAUAUUCAAGGUUUUUAUCCAACUCCUUGAUGAUGGUACGUUGACCGAUGGCAAAGGACACGUCGUAGAUUUUAAAAACACUAUCAUCAUUAUGACCUCAACUCUAGGAGCAGAGCACCUAACAACAAGAAUGGGCAUAGAAAACACAGUCAAAGCUGGUCGGGGUCUUCUUAUGGGGCAGGUUCUGAAACGCUUGAAGCCUGAACUUAUUGACAGACUGAGUGAGGUUGUGAUAUUUGAGCCGCUUUCACAUGACGAACUGAAGGAAAUAUUGAAAAUCCAGAUGAAGGAUGUCAUUGCCACAGUAGCUAACAAGGGCGUCUCUCUAUUUAUAACUGAUGCCGCGCAGGAUGUCAUUUUGUCGGAAUCAUACCACCUGGUAAGUGGCGCAAGGCCCAUAAGGAGAUGGGUGGAGAAGAAUGUGACGACAGUUCUUUCAAACAUGCUGGUCAAUGGAGAAGCUUGUGAAGGCUCGAUCAUCUCCAUCGAUGCUGCAGAUGUUAACAGGGGGCUGAGGUACCAUGUACUGAAGAAGCAGGGGAGCACAGAUCCAUAA